RNAcentral lists this ribosomal RNA (1463 nucleotides) under Triticum aestivum (bread wheat). Its description in RNAcentral is "partial small subunit ribosomal RNA". The record is from RNAcentral. Lineage: Eukaryota; Viridiplantae; Streptophyta; Magnoliopsida; Poales; Poaceae.
CUUCUCUGCGCCGCAACUCGAGCCCAUCCGCCAGCAACAGCCGACGUCCGUGCACAAGGCGUCCCGGGUUUUCCCGUUGCACAGCGUGGAGCAUGUGCUGACAUACUCGCGACCCCCAUCGCUGACUACGAUGAAGUAGCCGAUGAAGUUCCAUCCGAUGGCCACAAAGACGUUGUGCUCGGUGGACACCGCGAGCUGCGCGCCGUUCCGGCAGGCCGCCGUACCAUGAGUAGUUGUAGUCGAUGAAUCUCCUCGCGCCGACGACACUGUUUGUGGAAAGUGGUCGGAAUGCGACAACCUUGGUCUGGACAUGCACCGUGCCGUCCGCCAGGGAGAUUGGCGUCCACCUCCACGCCGUCGCCCAGGAGCAGCUUCGAGGGACGGCGCGUCUCGUCGCAGGUGAGGUUGAAGCCCUUGCGAAAGCAGCCUUGCCGGAAGCCGAAAGGGUAGGGGACGGAGACGUUGCCGCAGGCCUCCGGGCAGCCAGACAAGGCUACUGGGCCAUCGGCGACGGCUGUUGCCACGAGGAGGAGCUCAAGUGCCAACACCGUUGCGACGACGAGCUUUGCUUGUGACAUGCAGCGAGAUACAGGCUUGCCGGAAGCUGCAUGAGCAUGCAACAUGCUGCUGGGCAAGCUUGGCUUGGGUGCUAGCUAGAGGAAAUGGUGAUACUCGUAUUGCUAGUAGUCGACCUCCUCUGCAAUUUGUAGAGAAAAGCUUUUGUGUUCGGUCUUCUCAGUUGGCUUCAACGCCGACCAGGUACAGUAGUGCACGAAUAUAGACUAAUCAAUCUAAGCAUGUUGCAUGUCAAGUACUAGUAGCUGAGUUAGUACUUGGUACCGUCCUCAUCCUACAGUAUUUCGCUAAACUGGAGCUCAAACACAAACAUGCCUCUUUGGUGCUGCAAGUGCAAGGAAAAGUCCAUGACGUACUAGAAAGGAAGCGGAAAUGGGUGUGGCAUACAAUCGGUGAUGUGACAGUCUUGUGUCUUAUGUGGAAAACUCAAACUCGUGUCAAACUUGGCUACUGUUGGUCAGGUCAGUGGUCACACCGUGCCAUGAACACACUCUAUCCACCCAACCCGGAUGGGGAUGGCAGGUUGAAGCCCUCUCGGAAGCAUCCUCCACGAAGAUCUCCAGGCAACCAGAACCAUGCAAUGGCAAUUUUAGCGAGGACGACCGGGAGAAAAAGAAGAAGAUUACCUCGCUGCAGCUCGGCUCCCACCUCAGGCGCCAUCGACCCCACGCUCGGCCGGAACGCACUUGACUUGAGCAUUUCAUCCAACACGUCGCCUGCACGGUCGGGAACUCAAAAUCGAACCAACGAACUAUCUAUUCACAGGAAAUUAUUGACUCUUUGACGAGUUUCUCACUGUUGAUUCCGAUCCCCAUCGACUUCAAUCAACAGCGAGCAACAAGCCACCGAUCACCUCGGGAAGAAAUUACAAGCGGUGGACUGCCCUG